GAUGAACGCUAGCGGCAGGCCUAACACAUGCAAGUCGAGGGGGAAGUUACUUUCGGGUGACUGAGACCGGCGUACGGGUGCGUAACGCGUAUACAAUCUGCCUUUCACUGGGGGAUAGCCCGAAGAAAUUUGGAUUAAUACCCCAUAGUAUAUAGGGACGGCAUCGUUUUUAUAUUAAAGCUUAGGUGGUGAAAGAUGAGUAUGCGUUCUAUUAGCUAGUUGGAGAGGUAACGGCUCCCCAAGGCGAUGAUAGAUAGGGGUUCUGAGAGGGAUGUCCCCCACACUGGUACUGAGAUACGGACCAGACUCCUACGGGAGGCAGCAGUGAGGAAUAUUGGACAAUGGUCGGAAGACUGAUCCAGCCAUGCCGGGUGCAGGAGGAAGGUCUUAUGGAUUGUAAACUGCUUUUGGAAGGGAAGAAUAAGGGCUACGCGUAGUUUGAUGACGGUACCUUACGAAUAAGCAUCGGCUAACUCCGUG
Molecule: ribosomal RNA, 480 nt
Filed under: uncultured bacterium
Lineage: Bacteria
Description: partial 16S ribosomal RNA
Rfam family: Bacterial small subunit ribosomal RNA
Source: RNAcentral